UGAUAUAAUAUGAACUACAUGACGGAACACCUAAGAGCAUGGUACUC
This 47-nucleotide small RNA is filed under the name Arabidopsis thaliana (thale cress). Its description in RNAcentral is "ATSL244420". The record is from RNAcentral. Lineage: Eukaryota; Viridiplantae; Streptophyta; Magnoliopsida; Brassicales; Brassicaceae.